This 908-nucleotide ribosomal RNA is filed under the name uncultured Candidatus Poseidoniales archaeon. RNAcentral describes it as "bacterial SSU rRNA". It matches the Rfam family "Archaeal small subunit ribosomal RNA", at positions 1 to 926 of the family's 1478-position model. The record is from RNAcentral. Lineage: Archaea; Methanobacteriati; Thermoplasmatota; Candidatus Poseidoniia; Candidatus Poseidoniales.
UUUCUGGUUGAUCCUGCCAGAGGCGACCGCUUUUGGAGUUCGAUUAAGCCAUGCGAGUCGAGAGCCUUAGGGGCUCGGCAUACUGCUCAGUAACACGUGGAUAACCUGCCCUAUUGUCUGGAAUAACCUCGGGAAACUGAGAACAAGGCCGGAUAGCCCACAAUGCCUGGAACGGUUUGUGGGUGAAGAUAGGAUGGGUCUGCGGCGUAUCAGGUCGUAGGGGGUGUAAUGGACCUCCUAGCCAUCGACGCGUACGGGUGUUGGGAGACAUAGCCCGGAGAUGGAUUCUGAGACACGAAUCCAGACCCUACGGGGUGCAGCAGGCGCGAAAACUUCACACUGCAGGAAACUGUGAUGAGGGAACUCCAAGUGCUAUCACUAUGUGGUAGCUUUUCUUGACUAUUAAUCGGUCAUGGAAUAAGGGCUGGGAAAGACCGGUGCCAGCCGCCGCGGUAAUACCGGCAGCUCAAGUGGUCGUCGCUUUUAUUGGGCCUAAAACGUCCGUAGCCUGUUUGGUAAAUCUGUGGGUAAAUCAACCAGCUUAACUGGUUGAAUUCUGCAGAGACUGCCAGACUAGGGACCGGGAGAGGUGUGGGGUACUCUAGGGGUGGGGGUAAAAUCCUGUCAUCCUUAGAGGACCACCAGUUGCGAAGGCGCCACACUGGAACGGAUCCGACGGUCAGGGACGGAGCCUAGGGGCACGAACCGGAUUAGAUACCCGGGUAGUCCUAGGUGUAAACGCUGUGAACUUGGUGUCGGGGAUCCGUAAUGGGUCCUCGGUGCCGGAGUGAAGAUGUUAAGUUCACUGCCUGGGGAGUACGGUCGCAAGGCUGAAACUUAAAGGAAUUGGCGGGGGAGCACUGCAACGGGAGGAGCGUGCGGUUUAAUUGGACUCAACGCCGGAAAUC